This 8317-nucleotide long non-coding RNA is filed under the name Theobroma cacao (cacao). RNAcentral describes it as "long non-coding RNA (TCAC_LNC003306)". Lineage: Eukaryota; Viridiplantae; Streptophyta; Magnoliopsida; Malvales; Malvaceae. The record is from RNAcentral.
UUUGUGUUUUACAAACAAAAUGUAUUUACAUGAAAAUAUUUUAUAAAUUGUCUUGAAAUUGAAUAAUGAUUUUGAAAAAUAGAGUAAUUUGAGACCACUUGUUAUGUUGUAAAAUUUAUGAUUUGAAUCGAAUGGCUUAUGACAAUAUUUGCAUGAAUGGCUGAAUUGAUGUUUCUGUUGAAAUAUAUGAAAUGUGUAUUUAGCCUUGAAAGGCUGUGAAUUACAAUAAUUGCCAUAUCAUGUUAUUGAAUUUUAUUGAUUGGUGGGAUAAUUAUUAGCUUACUGUAGUAGGCAGGUUUCCAUGGACCAGCCUAUUAGAGGGGCACGAUAAACCCCGUUAUAUCUUACCUUAGUAUGAGAGGCGCGGGUGGAUAACUCCUGAGGCUAACAUUUUAGAGUUCACUUCAUGUCAAACCACCAUGUGAGGGGGAACUCAGCCAACGCCAAGGAACGACUAUAUUUUCAAAAUAAAAACAUAAUUUAUGAGUAUGUAACUUUUUAAUAGCCUUGGCGGACUCUGUUUGGGAUAGCCUUCGGCCAAUGUAUCAUUGAUAACUGAGUAUGAGAAUAAUUUUAGCACGAGCUAUGCUUUUAAGAGAUUCAUAAGCCAUACUGAUUACUUGAUUUAAAUAAAUUGAUUUCAUUUGGUUGAAAUAAGUUGAAAGAUGAUAAAUUACAGUUUGAUGAAAUGUUUUAAUAGUCUCAUUUUACUCGCCUUUAGAAAUUUUAAAUGAUAUUUGUUUACUCAUUGGAGUUUUAUAAUCUCACCACCCUCUUUUCCAUCCAUUACAGGCUCGAAAUAGAUUGUAGAUAAUUGAUAUCGGCGAGGACUACAGUUGGACUUGCCACAUCUAAAAAUUGUAGGUUAAUUUUUUUUGAGACUUUUAGUCAUUCGUGGGUCCACGUGUCACUGUAAAUUAAAUUCUAUACUUUGGUUAUCUGUAUUACUGUAUGUAGGAAUUUAUUUUGCUUUUACGUUGUAAAAAUUAUUUAUGCAGUGUUCUUAAAAUAUUAUUUUAUGAGAACAUUAAAUAUUUUAUUCAAUAUUUUUAUUUAUUCUAACAGUCAUAACUUCAUUUUAAACGAAUGUUUUAGACAUCCAAAACUAUUUUUGAUUAUGAAAUAUGUGUUUUCCACUUACUACAUUUUUAACUGAUUUUGAGAUUUUUGGGAAAAAUGACCAAAAUACCCUUGUGCGACAAAUUAUUAUUUUAUUUGUUUUAAGUUGGAAACAGUUUAAAAUCUUUUAGAAUGUGGUAUUUGGCAACAGUUACUCACAAGGGAAAUGAGAAGUUGAUAUUAAAGCCUUGCGGGGUUCCGGAUUGACAUUUUGGGUAAUGAGUGUCGAUCGCGACGUCGCGGCGGUUGUCACGGGCUUGAGGGGAGUACCGGGUCGUGACAAUUCAGGUGGUAUCAGAGCUUUUGGUUUUAAAGAUCAAAGCCUUUGGUUUUAAAGAUUAGAGUACAAAGCUUUUUGUUUUAAAGUUGUUUUAAAAACUACAGUGUCAAUGUGGCCUAAGUUAAGUUAAGUCAGGUUAGGUAGAAUAGAAUACGUGCAUCUGCAUAUAAAUUUUGGAGUUGUUUAGACUCAUUCUGUUUCUUCUUAUAGAUCUUAUGGGAGCUAUAGGAACUCCUGUUCCCAGUAAUCCACUUCCUUGUUAAUGUCAUGCAAAAGUCAUAAGUAGGGUCGUUGUUCGGGUUUAAGAUGCCACCCGUGACACAAGCUAGUGUUGAAGAGAUCUUAAAACAAAUGCUCCUAAUGAAAGAUUAAUGAAAUGAUAUAUCCCUCCGAUUAAGGAUGGAGAAAUUUGGAGUUGGACUAAUAGGCUGUGAUAAUUUAUUCAUUUGGUGGAGUUAUAAGUGAACUCAUGGUUGUCAAUUGGAAAAAGAUUUGGGGACUAUGAAUUUUAUUGGGGUUGAUAUAAAGGAGCACGUGUGAUAAUGGUAAUAAGGGGUGCACUUUGGUUAGAAUGAAUAGUGAUGGUUGUAAUUCACUUGGAGUGUAUAAAUUAAACAUUGAGGUAAGAGUAAACCCAUACUUAUGUGCAUGAAGAUAAGAACACUAUGUUAAUUGAGCUUGUUAUGCCCAUAUAAAAGUGGUAUUGAGAUUUUGAAAUAUUUUAUAUGUGAAUAUGUGUUAAAUAGGUACAACAACUUAGAGGGAACUGGUGUUGAUUUCAAUUAAGCGAUUGUGAGAUUUCAAGAAUUUAUUAGAUCUAUUAUAGUUCAUAGAUAUAAGCACGUGAAUUAACUCGAGAGUGAGUAUCAAUGACUACUAUAAUUGAUGUGUGGUCAUGAUGUAAGAAGUUAGUAAACAAAUUUGCUCUAAGGAUGAGCUUGAACUUUGCUAUGCAUAGUAAGGAAGAGCCAAUGGAUUAAAGGACUAGAUGUGGAAUUGACAGCUUGAGGUUAAAUGACUUGGAAAUGUCGAAUCUAGUCUAAGUGCCAUAUGAAGUUCUAUAAUUGAGACUGAUAUAUGAAUUACUUGAAAGAUCAAUUUAAAAGUUUAUUCAAUUCAAAGUGUGGUCUAUGAUACAAAUGAUCAGUCUUGAAGGUGAUCUCCCCAGAGUAAGGAAUUUAGAAAAUGUUGAUGUUUGGAUAUACUCUAAGAGAGAGAGAACUUCUGUAUCCUAAGUUUAGGACAACUUUGAUCUUAUGAUUGCAAAGGCAAGGUGUGAUAACUAAGUAAAUUAUUCAAUUAAUAAAUGUGAUUGGUUAUUGAUGAAUAAAGUCAAGAUCUUAACAUUUAGUGGUGUAUAAUUUGAUAAUUAUGUAUUUAAGAGUUAUUUGGAGACAAUUCCUUCGUCAAAUUUGCACUAAAUGCUAUGAUAAAGGCAUAUCAAUGUUAAUAUGGAAAAGGUGAAAUUUGAAAUUUCAGUUGCAGCUACAAAAUUUGAAAGGAUAUAAGUGACAUUUAUAAUGGAUUUUUGAUUCUAUGAGGAUUGUGAAUAUAAGUGUAAAGAAAGAUGAAGGUAUGAGAUAUCGAUGAGGAAUAUCAAUGUUAAGUGAUGAAGUAUGAAUAAUGAAUUACAAGUGUUAUAGGGUGAGAUGAAUUUGAAAAUAUUAACUUUACCUAAUAUAUGUGAUGAGCACAAAAAGAUAUAAAUGGUCAUGAAAAUUGUGAUGUAAGCUUGGAGGGAAACCAAACGGUUGAGAAUGAUUAGUGUAGUAACCUUAAAUAUAGAUGAAUAACAUUGAUUAAGUAAACUCCAACAACCACCGUGCCGAUGUGCUAAGAACACUUCAUGUCUAGGACGUAUGAAUAAAAUGAGAUAGAUGUGAAAUUGAACUUACGAGUUGACCUAAAGUCAUUGAACUUGAUUUUAAGUUUUGUUAACUGGAGUUUUAAGGUUUUGGAAGAUAUCGAUAUGAAUGAGUUAAAGUUGAAAUGGUUAAAGGCAUUCCCUUCAAGGGGAGAAGCAAAAAGUCUGGGGUUAAAACUUGGCAAGAAGGUCUUGUAGGGCCUGUCAUGUCGCCCUUAGGCGCGACGAAAACGAGUAAGUCAAGUGAUGGGGACCCAGACAUAACAAUACCUUAGAGUGGGCCCUGAAGAGAAUGCCACAUAAAUGGCUAAGUUACGGGUUAAGUGAUCACAUGUUGUGAGACAUAAGUUUAAGAUAGAUAUCCCCAAGGAAAUACCCAAGAGAAGUUCUGCUGUGAAUCUUGUAAAAGCAAGCACUAAGUUAUGUGAUUAUAAAAAGGAAGCUAUAACCUGAGAGUAAUAUUAGUAUUAAUAUUGAAAAGUACUUGAGGAGAAUCUAGUUUUAAGUCUUGCAAUUUCAAGUACAAUUUGUAAAUUGGUUAAGGAAGAAUGAUGCUAUAUUCGUAUGAAAGAAUGGAACUUUAUUAAAGGAAGCAUAUGGAAAAGCAUAAGAGAAUAUAUUAGUUUGACUUACUAUAAGAGGUCAAAAGUUGGAUGGCCAUGAGUGGCUUGUAAGUAAACCAGGAAUGUAUAGGUAAGUGUGUAAGGGAGCUAUGAUCGAUAGAUAAGAGUAGAACUUUAAUGAUGAGAUAGUGUUUGCUGCGUUAGACCUUGAACCAUAAAAUAUGGAUAUGUAUCCACCUUAUGAAAACUCUGAUGUGAUAAAUUUGAAAGACUUUUCGCAAUGAGAAAACAUUAAAGUUUAAGGAGCAAAUGGCUAUAUAGUCAAGUUAGACUCAUGACUGACAUGUCAUAUAAGUAUGAGGAUGGGAAACAAGCAAAAGUAUUCUUGGAAAUACUGGCUUGAGGCAAUGAUUAUCCUACUGUUUUAUGGAACCGAUGAGGUUCUGGUCUCGACAUAAUUGUAGACGCAAAACAUAAAUUAUGAAAUGUACUUCCCUACAAGUUUCAAUUUAUUUUUUAGUAAUUAUCAAGGCAAAGUAUUUGAUAAUAAGAGGCAAAGGUUGAAUUGUGUUUCGAAUGUUUAGAAAAUGAGGAUGAUACAAUUUGAUUAAAUGACACUAUUAUGUAUAAGGGAAUAGAAAUACGCUACAGGAACUGUAAAGAUUUACUUAAAAAAAGAAAUGAUGAUUCAAAAAUUCAAGUACUCAUGUACAAGUAAGGGUUUGGUGAUGAGAUAUGACAUAGGGUUGAAUUACUCCAAUAUGAACUUCGACUAUAAAAAAAUUUGAAUUAUAUAAUACGUGUUGUUUGGGGAUGAUGCCAACUAGUGGUUAACUCCCAUAUGAGGAUGGAAUAUGUGCAAUCGACUUCAUGUAAUCGAAAGUGUGAAAAUAUGCCUUGAAUGGCAUAAGCCCAUGACUCAAAAUGGAUGAUUAUGGAUUUAAUCUUCUAAGGUAAAAAGGGCUGAAGGAAAUUGAUAUCAGAAAUAUCUUGAUAAAUGAUACUUUGAUUUUAAAGUGUACGUGAGGGGAGAUAAAUGUUUAUUUUCAUCUUCAAAUUGAUAAACUAAUGAGGCCAUGAGAUCUACUGUUUGGAGAAAAAUUUGAGGAAUCACAAGUUAGAUAUGUUUGUAUGUGACGUAUAACUAACAAGUUGAUUAUGACCUAGGAACUAUAAGGAUUGAUUAAGUCCAUAAGGAUACAUCCAAAAGUAGGUUCGUUUAUUUAAAUAUAUCAUGGUAAUAAAAGAGAUUUACUUAAUAAGUACUCGAUCCUAAAAGUACUGGAGUUUUCUUUUUGAGAAUAUGGUUACUAAUGGUUAUCAAAUUUGAAUUAUCUGUGAUGUAAUAUAUAUAUAUAUAUAUAUAUAUGGACAAAUAAAGAGUGUUUGAUCCUUAUGUAUUAUGAAAUGUUUGAAUAGGAAUUGUAGUACACACCCUUUUAGGAGAAAAAUUAAUUUGGAAGUAGUUGUAAUAUGGAAAGAGUAUUCUGAAGUGGGAAUUAUUGAUUGUUGACAAGUGAUAAAGGUAGCGUAACAAUAAGAAAUCCCAUUAGAGACUGAGUUGCGUGGAUAUAAAAGACUUUGGGAGAUAGUUAAGAAAAUGGUAUCAAGGACGCGGUUAAGCUGUACGCGAUAGACUAAUAAGAUUAAGAAAAUUGAAGCUACAUAAAUGUGAGGUAAACAUAAAUAUGAGGAUACGUACCGGAAUGAAUAAGAGCAUCCCAAUGGUUAAAGUAUUGUGGAUGAAUGCUCAAAUGGAAGAGAUGACAUGGGAAGUUGAACAUCACAUAAGAAGACAAUACCCCACCUUUUUUUUUGAGUUCAGUAAAUGAAAUUUUGAGGUCAAAAUUUUAUUUUAAGGGGGGUAGUGCUGUAAAAUCCCGACCUUAUAAAAUACUUGUCAUGGCAUACAUGUGAUGGAUAACAUGUUUGCAUGCUAGGAGAGUCCCAAAAAAUUUACAAAAGUCGGUAUUAUACUUAGAGGUACAAUAAAGUUGAUUUAAGCCUCGAACUAGAUCAAAUAGAGAUUUUAGGGUGAAAUUGAAAAUUUUACAGUCUAGGAAUGAUUUAAAAUAAUGAUUUGGAGUCAAACCGAAAAUUUCACUAUCUAGGGGUAAAAUGGUAAUUUUUCCACUCGAGGAUAAAAUGGGAAUUUUUUUGAAAGAUUUUGAUCAUAUAUGACUUAUUGGAGUAUGAUUUGAGGUUGAGAAGUGAAAAAUUUAGAAUCUCAAUAUUUUUUGAAGCAUAGGGGUAAAAUGGUAAUUUUGCCAACCAAGGGCAAAACAGUAAAUUUCCACCACCAAGACACUUGUCCAGCACAUGAAUUUUACCCAAUAUUAUCAUGGAUAAUUGAAGAAAUUUAUAUGGUGGAGAGAGAAAGCUUAAUAAUUGAGAAAUAAAAAUGGAUCAAUGAAAUGGUGACACAUGGCAUAUUUAUAACCAUUAAAUAUUUGGCUUAUAAAUUAACACAAAUCAGCCCAUUUUCUCUUCAUAUGGCCAGCCAAACCAAGAGCAAAGGAAGAACAAAGGGCGAAAAGAAAAACAAGAACCCUAGGUGGGAAAAUUCAAAGGAAAAUUGGAAGAUUUUAAAGAAUCAAGCAAUCAAAGGUAAAAUUUCUUGAUUUUGACUUGUGAUCUACCUUUCCCAUGCAUUUCUCCUUAUUUUCCAUGGUUAGAUUUCAUGUUUUCAUGGUGAAUUCAUGGCUGGUAAAAAUGGGUAUGGAGAGAGAAAGAUGUUGGAUUGAUUUGAUUUUAAGUUAUGUUAGUGUUUUUAGUUAGUUUAACAUAUUUAGAAACAAAACAAGAAGAAAAGAAUUCAUUUUCCCCCAUCACCAUCAUUGGCCGAAUUUUCUAGGGAGGAUAUUGUGGUUGAAAUUGAUGAUAUUUCAUGAUAUUUUGGUGAUAUUUGAUGUUUGGUAAGACUAGAAAUUAAAUGAGAAAUUUUGGUGUGAAAAUCUGAAUUUUUACCUAAUGAAUAGACAUGUGUGAUUAUUGACCCGAGACUGAUAAAUUGAAUCUCAUUCGUAGCCACUGAGGUAAUUUAGGUAUAAUUGGAGUGUAGAAAGUGAAAGAAAUUGAUUUAGAGUUAAAUUGGAGGUUUUAGCCAAUUACACCAAGAAUAGUGCGAAUUAGGUCGAAUACCGUAUUUAAACGGCUAUUCGGACAUUUUGCAUCACAUUUCGUGCAUUCAUAUAGAUUUAUAGAGCCUGAAAUAGUUAUGAUAAAUUGACACAAUUUAUUGAAAUUCGUGUCACGUAUGAUGUAUAAGUGGGGAGCCCUCUAAUAAGGGUAAAGAGAUUGUGCCCGAAGAUCGGGAAUAGGAGUAUAUCGAACUCCUAGUACUGUGAGUAACCUUACCAUCAUUUUAAUUAUCUAAAGUAUGUUUUUAAUCGGUUUUGGUGAAAUUUUAUGAAAAUGAGUUUAAAUGGUAAAUCUUUGUGUUUUACAAACAAAAUGUGUUUACAUGAAAAUAUUUUAUAAAUUGUCUUGAAAUUGAAUAAUGAUUUUGAAAAAUGGAGUAAUUUGAGACCACUUGUUAUGUUGUAAAAUUUAUGAUUUGAAUCGAAUGGCUUAUGACAAUAUUUGCAUGAAUGGCUGAAUUGAUGUUUCUGUUGAAAUAUAUGAAAUGUUUAUUUAGCCUUGAAAGGCUAUGAAUUACAAUAAUUGCCAUAUCAUGUUAUUGAAUUUUAUUGAUUGGUGGGAUAAUUAUUAGCUUACUGCAGUAGGCGGGUUUUCGUGGACCAGCCUAUUAGAAGGGCACGACAAACCCCGUUAUAUCUUACCUCAGUAUGACAGGCACGGGUGGAUAACUCCUGAGGCUAACAUUUUAGAGUUCACUUCACGUCAAACCACCACGUGAGGGGGAACUCAGCCAACGCCAAGGAACGACUAUAUUUUCAAAAUAAAAACAUGAUUUAUGAGUACGUAACUUUUUAAUAGCCUUGGCGGACUCGAUUUGGGAUAGCCCUCGGCCAAGGUAUCCUUGAAAACUGAGUAUGAGAAUAAUUUUGGCAUGAGCAAUGGUUUUAAGAAAUUCAUAAGCCAUACUGAUUACUUGAUUUAAAUAAAUUGAUUUCAUUUGGUUGAAAUAAGUUGAAAGAUGAUAAAUUACAAUUUGAUGAAAUAUUUUAAUAGUCUCUUUUUACUCGCCUUUAGAUAUUUUAAAUGAUAUUUGUUUACUCAUUGAAAUUUUAUAAUCUCACCACUCUCUUUUCCAUCCAUUACAAGCUCGGAAUAGAUUGUAGAUAAUUGAUAUUGACGAGGACUACAGUUGGACUUGCCACAUCUAAAAUCUGUAGGUUCAUUUCUUUUGAGACUUUUAGUCAUUCGUGGGCCCAUGUGCCACUGUAAAUUAAAUUCUAUACUUUGGUUAUCUGUAUUACUGUAUGUAGGAAUUUAUUUUUCUUUUAUGCUGUAAAAAUUAUUUAUGCAGUGUUCUUAAAAUAUUAUUUUAUGAGAAAAUUGAAUAUUUUAUUCAAUAUUUUUAUUUUA